RNAcentral lists this non-coding RNA (46 nucleotides) under Podarcis lilfordi (Lilford's wall lizard). It matches the Rfam family "Histone 3' UTR stem-loop". Rfam says of the family: The mRNAs of metazoan histone genes lack a poly-A tail. 3' end processing occurs at a site between a highly conserved stem-loop (modelled by this family) and a purine rich region around 20 nts downstream (the histone downstream element, or HDE). The stem-loop is bound by a 31 kDa stem-loop binding protein (SLBP - also termed the histone hairpin binding protein, or HBP). Lineage: Eukaryota; Metazoa; Chordata; Lepidosauria; Squamata; Lacertidae. The record is from RNAcentral.
UCAAAGGCCCUUUUAAGGGCCGCCCACCUUUUCAUGAAAAGAGCUG